ACACACUGACAAGCUGCUGGAAGCCUUUUUUCCACACUGUUGGACUCAACUUUUUACCUCCACUAGAGGGCGACAUUAUCAAGUAGGCGGUGCACUACUUCUGCACUGUGUUCAACCAUUGUGUCAAUAAUAAGUGCUGCUGUGAAGAGAACAAUUCUCACACUGAAUGUUGAACAGCAGCUGCUUUCUCCUGUUGCUUUAAACCUUGUUGUACAGAUGGAACUUUGGCUGUGGAUUAUUCUUGCUGCUCCUUUCUUUGAGUGUAAAGGACAAGACAAAGUGAACCAGCCAACAGAGGAUGUCAUUGCUACUGAAGGAGACUCAGUUACACUUGGAUGUACAUUUGAGACAAGUGACCCAAGUCCAUAUCUCUUCUGGUACAAACAGGAAGUCAACGGUUAUCCAAAGUACAUGCUGAGAUGUUUCUCUAAAACAGUCGAUCAUGCUCCAGAGUUUGAAAAGGACAGAUUUAAUGCUAAAAUUGAGAACAAGUCGGUUCCUCUGAAGAUCCAGAAGCUUCAGCUGUCUGACUCUGCUGUGUACUACUGUGCUCUGAGGCCCACAGUGACAGGAAACACCAAAACUCUGUACAAAAACCUUUGGAGCAAAGACAACAGAAUACUCCACAACAUCCACUAGAGGGAGUCAUAUGUAGUGGUGAUAAAGAGAGAAAAUAACGAACUUCAGAUAAAACCGAAUAAAGUUUUGUGUCAUACAAGACAAACUGAUGAGAAUGAGGAUUGUUGGGAUGUUAUUUAUGUGAACAACAUCUCAUCAUCACUGAGCACAACAACAAGCUCUGACAUUUAAAAGCUCAAAUUCAGCUCUGAAGGUCAGUCAUCUUUGUGAGGCCUUCUUAUAUUCACUACUGCGUCAGU
Molecule: non-coding RNA, 878 nt
Organism: Scatophagus argus
Lineage: Eukaryota; Metazoa; Chordata; Actinopteri; Scatophagidae
Source: the annotation of a RefSeq genome assembly